AACAAACGCUGGCGGCGUGCCUAACACAUGCAAGUCGUACGAGAAAGGGUCCUUCGGGACCUGAGUAAAGUGGCGCACGGGUGAGUAACGCGUGGAUAAUCUGCCCUUCAGUUGGGAACAACUCAUCGAAAGGUGGGCUAAUACCGUAUAACACUGCAAGACUUUGGUCGAGCAGUCAAAGAGAGCCUCUGCUUGCAAGCCCUCGCUGAAGGAUGAGUCCGCGUACCAUUAGCUAGUUGGCAGGGUAAUGGCCUACCAAGGCGACGAUGGUUAGCUGGUCUGAGAGGAUGAUCAGCCACACUGGAACUGAGACACGGUCCAGACUCCUACGGGAGGCAGCAGUGAGGAAUCUUGCGCAAUGGGGGAAACCCUGACGCAGCAACGCCGCGUGAGUGAGGAAGGCCUUCGGGUCGUAAAGCUCUGUUAGUUGGAAAGAAAUGCCUGAGAGUUAAUACCUUUCAGGUUUGACGGUACCAACAGAGGAAGCACCGGCUAACUCCGUGCCAGCAGCCGCGGUAAUACGGGGGGUGCAAGCGUUGUUCGGAAUUAUUGGGCGUAAAGAGCGUGUAGGCGGCCGGAUAUGUCAGAUGUGAAAGCCCUGGGCUUAACCCAGGAAGUGCAUUUGAAACUGUCCGGCUUGAGUAUGGGAGAGG
RNAcentral lists this ribosomal RNA (653 nucleotides) under uncultured Syntrophaceae bacterium. RNAcentral's name for it is "bacterial SSU rRNA". It matches the Rfam family "Bacterial small subunit ribosomal RNA", at positions 28 to 657 of the family's 1533-position model. The record is from RNAcentral. Lineage: Bacteria; Pseudomonadati; Thermodesulfobacteriota; Syntrophia; Syntrophales; Syntrophaceae.